UUCCACCUUAAUGGCAUUUAUUUGUACUAAUUCAGAAAUAUACAAACUAAUUAAUAUAAUCACAUUUAGCAUGCAGAACCACUGUGGGAGGAAAACAUGAACAAAAGUGGGCCUUCACAGAAGGUGAUACACUGUCAAGAUUAUUUCAGUUGAUUGAAUAAUUCUCUCUCUCAAUUCUGGAAAUGCUGAAGUCCAGAAUUCAGGACUUUGCAAAGUUAGAAGCACUAGAGUGGAAAAGAUAACUACAUAGGGUAAGCCAGUCUUAAAACCUCUUCAUUAGCAACCAAUACUUUUGCUAAUUCAAGGAACAUGCAAGUCCAUAAAGUUAAAGGGAACUUUACAGUGGUUUGCUGCCUUUGCAGGAAAACCAGUUUUAGUACUAUAGUUUCUGGGUUUGGUAGGGAGUCCAUCCAGCUCACACAGUGUUUUGCAGAAUCUAGAACAGGAAUAAAAGAAACCAGAGGCUUAAUAAAUAAUGUUAUACUUUUAGCUGAGGGAUUGCAAGUAGCUCCAGCUCUUUAUACAUUAGGAAAAGGUUUAAAAUACAAAAGAAGUUAGUAUCAUGAAGAAAACAUUUAAUGUUCAGGAGCAAAGUGCAGGGAGAAAGGGCUUCAACCUUCUAACUGGGCUGAAGGCAGAGUCCAGCAACACACCAUGUCCCUGGCAUUGAAUAGCAAUAAAACCUGUUUUGCACAUCACACUGUAUCAACUUCUCAGACUUCAUUAAAAUUGUCAGGAAAAAAAAAUAAUCCUCAAACUAAAAAUUCCAGAACUAAUGGCUGCAGUUGAAGCCACUUACAAGUUUUAAAUACAUAUAAAGGAUGUCUGGAGUCUGUUCUUUUCUGGACAUGAGAUCUUCUUGCAUAGACGCAGCGGUCAUUAGAUGAUUUUGAUUUGUGGCCGUUUCACCCAUCUCCUUCCAAAAGUUCAAUCCAUCCAGCUCAACUCAACUCACCAUAAAGAACAGCAGCGAUGGCCAACUGACUUAAGUUGCUUCAAACCAGGAUUCCUCCUAUUUCCUAACUAUGGAGUUACAGGAUAUGAAUAUUUUUUUAAAAAGAGCUGAAUAAAAAAAGCCAACAAACCCAAACCAUUCAACUCUGUGUAGUUGCACUGAAUCAUCAUCAUGUUUGGGGAAAAAAAA
This 1144-nucleotide long non-coding RNA is filed under the name Strigops habroptila (Kakapo). RNAcentral describes it as "lncRNA (ENSSHBG00005018725.1)". The record is from RNAcentral. Lineage: Eukaryota; Metazoa; Chordata; Aves; Psittaciformes; Psittacidae.